GGAACGGGAGAUUCUCAUCAUGGAUGCAGCCGACAAACCUGCAGCAACUGUGUGAUGCUGUCAUGUUAAUAUGGAGAAAACCUCUGAGGAAGGUUUCCACCACCUGCUUCCAUCUAUCACACCAGGAAUGAAGGUGGUUCUGAGGG
Molecule: long non-coding RNA, 146 nt
Organism: Melanotaenia boesemani (Boeseman's rainbowfish)
Lineage: Eukaryota; Metazoa; Chordata; Actinopteri; Atheriniformes; Melanotaeniidae
Exons: 2
Source: RefSeq, a predicted model, not a curated record